GACGAACGCUGGCGGCGUGCUUAACACAUGCAAGUCGAACGGUGAAGCGCUUUCCUUUUUGGUGGGUGUGGAUGAGUGGCGAACGGGUGAGUAACACGUGAGUAACCUGCCCCCUUCUUCUGGAUAACCGCAUGAAAGUGUGGCUAAUACGGGAUACUCUGUGUCUGUCGCAUGAUGGGUCUGUGAAAGAUAUUGUUUCGGUGGGGGAUGGGCUCGCGGCCUAUCAGCUUGUUGGUGGGGUGAUGGCCUAACAAGGCGGUGACGAGUAGCUGGCCUGAGAGGGUCGGCGGUCACAGUGGUGAUGAGACGCGGCGACGACUACGAGAGGAGGCAGCGGGGAAGAAUAUUGCACAAGGGGAGGAAGGCUGCUGCAGCGACGCGGCGUGGGGGAAGGAGGCCGUGGGGUUGAGAACCUCUUUCGGCAGAGAAGCAGGGCUGCCUCGUUUGUGGGUGGGUUGACGGUAGCUGGAUAAGAAGCGCCGGCUAACUACGUG
Molecule: ribosomal RNA, 494 nt
Filed under: uncultured bacterium
Lineage: Bacteria
Description: partial 16S ribosomal RNA
Rfam family: Bacterial small subunit ribosomal RNA
Source: RNAcentral